This 253-nucleotide ribosomal RNA is filed under the name uncultured bacterium. Its description in RNAcentral is "partial 16S ribosomal RNA". It matches the Rfam family "Bacterial small subunit ribosomal RNA", at positions 524 to 776 of the family's 1533-position model. The record is from RNAcentral.
GACAGAGGGUGCAAACGUUGUUCGGAAUUACUGGGCGUAAAGCGCGUGUAGGCGGCAGGGCAUGUCGGAUGUGAAAGCCCGGGGCUCAACCCCGGGAGGCGGGCGGAUACUGUCGGGCUAGAGUCCGGAAGAGGCGAGUGGAAUUCCUGGUGUAGCGGUGAAAUGCGCAGAUAUCAGGAGGAACACCAAUGGCGAAGGCAGCUCGCUGGGACGGUACUGACGCUGAGACGCGAAAGCGUGGGGAGCAAACAGG